Molecule: ribosomal RNA, 274 nt
Filed under: uncultured bacterium
Lineage: Bacteria
Description: partial 16S ribosomal RNA
Rfam family: Bacterial small subunit ribosomal RNA
Source: RNAcentral
AUACGGAGGGUGCAAGCGUUACUCGGAAUCACUGGGCGUAAAGGGCGCGCAGGCGGUUUGGUAAGUCAGAUGUGAAAGCCCACGGCUCAACCGUGGAAGUGCAUUUGAAACUGUCAGACUUGAGUACUAGAGGGGAAAGUGGAAUUCCCGGUGUAGAGGUGAAAUUCGUAGAUAUCGGGAGGAAUACCGGUGGCGAAGGCGACUUUCUGGCUAGAUACUGACGCUGAGGCGCGAAAGCGUGGGGAGCAAACAGGAUUAGAAACCCCAGUAGUCC